UGAGCAAUCUGCCCUUCUCGUCGGAAUAAGCGUUGGAAACGACGUCUAAUGCCGAAUACGACCUCCUUUCGCAUGAUCGGAGGUGGAAAGCUCCGGCGGAGAAGGAUGAGCUCGCGGCCUAUCAGCUAGUUGGUGUGGGUAAUGGCCCACCAAGGCGACGACGGGUAGCCGGCCUGAGGAGGGUGACCCGGCCACACGUGGGACUGAGACACGGCCCAGACCUCCGUACGGGAGGNAGCG
RNAcentral lists this ribosomal RNA (240 nucleotides) under uncultured bacterium. RNAcentral's name for it is "partial 16S ribosomal RNA". It matches the Rfam family "Bacterial small subunit ribosomal RNA", at positions 118 to 353 of the family's 1533-position model. The record is from RNAcentral.